Molecule: transfer RNA, 80 nt
Filed under: Dermatophagoides pteronyssinus (European house dust mite)
Lineage: Eukaryota; Metazoa; Arthropoda; Arachnida; Sarcoptiformes; Pyroglyphidae
Description: tRNA-Leu
Rfam family: tRNA
About the family: Transfer RNA (tRNA) molecules are approximately 80 nucleotides in length. Their secondary structure includes four short double-helical elements and three loops (D, anti-codon, and T loops).
Source: Rfam by way of RNAcentral
GGCAACGUGGCCGAGUGGACUAAGGCGCCGUGUUUAGGCCGCGGUCCGUAUGGGCGUGGGUUCGAAUCCCACCGUUGUCA